AUUGAACGCUGGCGGCAUGCUUUACACAUGCAAGUCGGACGGCAGCACAGAGAAGCUUGCUUCUUGGGUGGCGAGUGGCGAACGGGUGAGUAAUAUAUCGGAACGUACCGAGUAAUGGGGGAUAACUAAUCGAAAGAUUAGCUAAUACCGCAUAUUCUCUGAGGAGGAAAGCAGGGGACCUUCGGGCCUUGCGUUAUUCGAGCGGCCGAUAUCUGAUUAGCUAGUUGGUGGGGUAAAGGCCUACCAAGGCGACGAUCAGUAGCGGGUCUGAGAGGAUGAUCCGCCACACUGGGACUGAGACACGGCCCAGACUCCUACGGGAGGCAGCAGUGGGGAAUUUUGGACAAUGGGCGCAAGCCUGAUCCAGCCAUACCGCGUGUCUGAAGAAGGCCUUCGGGUUGUAAAGGACUUUUGUCAGGGAAGAAAAGGCUGUUGCUAAUACCGACAGCUGAUGACGGUACCUGAAGAAUAAGCACCGGCUAACUACGUG
Molecule: ribosomal RNA, 490 nt
Filed under: uncultured bacterium
Lineage: Bacteria
Description: partial 16S ribosomal RNA
Rfam family: Bacterial small subunit ribosomal RNA
Source: RNAcentral